UGAAUAGUGGACCGAAGAAAAUGGAGAUCUGCAAAGCUGGAAACGAAAGGGGCUGCGGUUCAACGUCAAGUGAUUCUGCUUCACUGUAGGGGAGGAGCCUAUAGUCUGUCAAUAACGAUCACCUUGGUUCACUUAGCAAGUCUUUCCCGGAUGGACAGGAUCCAGUCCACAUUGCAUCCUCAGUUUGCUUUGGUUUUUUGAAAAUUACUUUAUGCAUAUCAGGUCGGGUGGGAAAGCCCAGAUCCAUUUUGGAACGGGUCCAACUUUUUUGGACCUGUGAUGACCCCUAACACAGGGUGCCCGAGGACAGGAUUCAAUGACCUGCAUUCAAGAUCAACUGUACUUGUGACUAUAUGGGGCAGCAGGUAGCCUAGUGGUUGGAGCGUUUGACCAAUAACCGAAAGGUUCAAAGAGCAAAUCCCCAAGCUGAUAAGGUAAAAAUCUGUCGUUCUUCCCCUGUACAAGGCAGUUAAUCCACUGUUCCUAGGCCGUCAUUGAAAUAAGAAUUUGUUCUUAACUGACUUGCUUAUUUAAAUAAAGGUAAAACUUUUUUUUUAAAUAGAGUGGUUUGAGAAUUGGGUCUAAUGCCAGAACUACUUGCAUACGCUAGACAGAAGUUAUGUAAUUAGAACGCAUCCUGUUCCCUGUAUUAUGUCAACUUACAUUUCCAGUUUUUCUUGUUGCACAAAUUCAGAU
This is a long non-coding RNA of Oncorhynchus gorbuscha (pink salmon), 696 nucleotides long. RefSeq lists it as uncharacterized. The transcript has 3 exons. NCBI's taxonomy places the organism in Eukaryota, Metazoa, Chordata, Actinopteri, Salmoniformes, Salmonidae. The record is from RefSeq and is a predicted model, not a curated record.